This 508-nucleotide ribosomal RNA is filed under the name uncultured bacterium. Its description in RNAcentral is "partial 16S ribosomal RNA". It matches the Rfam family "Bacterial small subunit ribosomal RNA", at positions 30 to 523 of the family's 1533-position model. The record is from RNAcentral.
AUUGAACGCUGGCGGCAUGCCUUACACAUGCAAGUCGAACGGCAGCGGGGGAGAAGCUUGCUUUUCCUGCCGGCGAGUGGCGAACGGGUUAGGAAUACUUCGGAACGUGGCCUGUAGGGGGGGAUAAGUAGUCGAAAGAUUAGCUAAUAUCGCAUAAGACCUGACUGUGAAAGUGGGGGACCGCAAGGCCUCAUGCUAUAGGCGCGGGCAAUGUUUGAUUAGCUAGUUGGCGGGGUAAAGGCCUACCAAAGCGACGAUCAGUGGCUGGUCUGAGAGGAUGACCAGCCACACUGGAACUGAGACACGGUCCAGACUCCUACGGGAGGCAGCAGUGGGGAAUAUUGCACAAUGGGCGCAAGCCUGAUGCAGCCAUGCAGCGUGUAUGAAGAAGGCCUUCGGGUUGUAAAGUACUUUCAGCGGGGAGGAAGGCGGUGAAGUUAAUAGCUUAACCGAUUGACGUUACCCGCAGAAGAAGCACCGGCUAACUCCGUGCCAGCAGCAGCCGCGG